RNAcentral lists this ribosomal RNA (253 nucleotides) under uncultured bacterium. RNAcentral's name for it is "partial 16S ribosomal RNA". It matches the Rfam family "Bacterial small subunit ribosomal RNA", at positions 524 to 776 of the family's 1533-position model. The record is from RNAcentral.
UACGUAGGGGGCAAGCGUUGUCCGGAAUCAUUGGGCGUAAAGCGCGUGUAGGCGGCUCGGUAAGUCCGCUCUGAAAGUCCAGGGCUCAACCCUGGGAUGCGGGUGGAUACUGCCGGGCUCGAGUCCGGAAGAGGCGAGUGGAAUUCCCGGUGUAGCGGUGAAAUGCGCAGAUAUCAGGAGGAACACCGAUGGCGAAGGCAGGUCUCUGGGCAUUAACUGACGCUGAGGAGCGAAAGCAUGGGGAGCGAACAGG